RNAcentral lists this signal recognition particle RNA (100 nucleotides) under Gaiellales bacterium. RNAcentral describes it as "signal recognition particle sRNA small type". It matches the Rfam family "Bacterial small signal recognition particle RNA". Rfam says of the family: The signal recognition particle (SRP) is a universally conserved ribonucleoprotein involved in the co-translational targeting of proteins to membranes. Archaeal SRP consists of a 7S RNA and homologues of the eukaryotic SRP19 and SRP54 proteins. Lineage: Bacteria; Bacillati; Actinomycetota; Thermoleophilia; Gaiellales. RNAcentral also lists the same sequence under 1 other name. The record is from RNAcentral.
GGCCAGGUCCCGCGCGCUGGGCAGUUGCGAACCGUGUCAGAUCCGGAAGGAAGCAGCACUCAGCGAUCUUGCUCAGGCGACGCGGUCAGGCCUGGCACGA